RNAcentral lists this ribosomal RNA (253 nucleotides) under uncultured bacterium. Its description in RNAcentral is "partial 16S ribosomal RNA". It matches the Rfam family "Bacterial small subunit ribosomal RNA", at positions 524 to 776 of the family's 1533-position model. The record is from RNAcentral.
UACGAAGGGGGCUAGCGUUGUUCGGAUUUACUGGGCGUAAAGCGCACGUAGGUGGAUUGUUAAGUGAGAGGUGAAAUCCCAAGGCUCAACCUUGGAACUGCCUUUCAUACUGGCAAUCUCGAGUUCGGAAGAGGUGAGUGGAAUUCCUAGUGUAGAGGUGAAAUUCGUAGAUAUUAGGAAGAACACCGGUGGCGAAGGCGGCUCACUGGUCCGAUACUGACACUGAGGUGCGAAAGCGUGGGGAGCAAACAGG